RNAcentral lists this small RNA (50 nucleotides) under bovine gut metagenome. Its description in RNAcentral is "Streptococcus sRNA SpF59 (ldcC RNA)". It matches the Rfam family "Streptococcus sRNA SpF59 (ldcC RNA)". The record is from RNAcentral.
UGACCACCCGAAAGGGUCAAGGCCAUACGGACAGCCGGGUCAACUGCCGA